Molecule: ribosomal RNA, 465 nt
Filed under: uncultured bacterium
Lineage: Bacteria
Description: partial 16S ribosomal RNA
Rfam family: Bacterial small subunit ribosomal RNA
Source: RNAcentral
GACGAACGCUGGCGGCGUGCUUAACACAUGCAAGUCGAACGGAAAGGCCCUGCUUGCCGGGUACUCGAGUGGCGAACGGGUGAGUAACACGUGGGUGAUCUGCCCUGCACUUCGGGAUAAGCCUGGGAAACUGGGUCUAAUACCGGAUAGGAGCCAUUUUUAGUGUGAUGGUUGGAAAGUUUUUUCGGUGUAGGAUGAGCUCGCGGCCUAUCAGCUUGUUGGUGGGGUAAUGGCCUACCAAGGCGGCGACGGGUAGCCGGCCUGAGAGGGUGGACGGCCACAUUGGGACUGAGGUGCGGCCCAGACUCCUACGGGAGGCAGCAGUGGGGAAUAUUGCACAAUGGGCGCAAGCCUGAUGCAGCGACGCCGCGUGGGGGAUGACGGCCUUCGGGUUGUAAACGCCUUUCGCUAGGGACGAAGCUUUUUGUGACGGUACCUAGAUAAGAAGCACCGGCUAACUACGUG